CAAUGUUAAUUAUAAUCCCACUUUCAACUGAUCUUCCAACAAAUAAUUAUUACAAUAAUUUAAGUCAUAAUUAUGUCUGCCUAAGAAGACCUUGCAGUUUCGUGCCUUAGAAUUCAAUGCAGGGUUCUUUGUAGACAAAAGGUAAAAAAAACAUACAUAAAUGCAGCAUAUAAGAAUUCACAUGAGACAUAAGGAGCGUGUUUUCAGUCCAGCCAAGAAAGGUAUCUGUGCAUAUUAAUAAAUGAACCUCUGCUAAGCUAGAUCAUACAAUGCCACAGUAAGAGUGAGAUGUCACAUGGAUUUAUGAAUCAAGCACCAAUGUGUUUGGACUAGGCGGUAACCCAGUCUAAACAUGUGUUUCUGAACUCCAAACACGUUCCUAUGCUCUGUGUUCCAGAUAUACUGGGAGGCAUAGGGUUACAAUGAUAGAAACGUGAUUCUUAGUCACAAGAAAUCUUAUGACUUCAGGUUUUCAUGGUACUUCUGUGUUUCCAAUUACAUCUCACAGUGGAAAAGUAAGACACAAUCUGGCUUUGAGAUGAAAAACACUAGUCGUUUUUAAAAUUCCAUUUUCUUAGGUUAGCCUCGUUGGUU
Molecule: long non-coding RNA, 594 nt
Organism: Nanorana parkeri
Lineage: Eukaryota; Metazoa; Chordata; Amphibia; Anura; Dicroglossidae
Exons: 2
Source: RefSeq, a predicted model, not a curated record